CAUAAUAACUUCUCGAAUCGCAUGGCCUUGUUGCGGCGAUGGUUCAUUCAAAUUUCUGCCCUAUCAACUUUCGAUGGUAGGAUAGUGGCCUACCAUGGUUUCAACGGGUAACGGGGAAUUAGGGUUCUAUUCCGGAGAGGGAGCCUGAGAAACGGCUACCACAUCCAAGGAAGGCGGCAGGCGCGCAAAUUACCCAAUCCCGACACGGGGAGGUAGUGACAAUAAAUACUGAUACAGGGCUCUUUUGAGUCUUGUAAUUGGAAUGAGUACAAUUUAAAUCCCUUAACGAGGAACAAUUGGAGGGCAAGUCUGGUGCCAGCAGCCGCGGUAAUUCCAGCUCCAAUAGCGUAUAUUAAAGUUGUUGCAGUUAAAAAGCUCGUAGUUGAACCUUGGGUCUGGCUGGCCGGUCCGCUCACCGGUGCACUGGUCCGGGCGGAUCUUUCCUUCUUGGCUAGGCCGGAUGCCCUUCACUGGGGUGUGGUCGGGGGAAACAG
This 494-nucleotide ribosomal RNA is filed under the name uncultured fungus. Its description in RNAcentral is "SSU rRNA". It matches the Rfam family "Eukaryotic small subunit ribosomal RNA", at positions 252 to 745 of the family's 1831-position model. Lineage: Eukaryota; Fungi. The record is from RNAcentral.